AAAGGAAUUGACGGGGGCCCGCACAAGCGGAGGAACAUGUGGUUUAAUUCGAUGAUACGCGAGGAACCUUACCCGGGCUCGAACGGUGCAGGGAUGAAUCAGAGAUGGUUCAGCUAGCAAUAGCCUGCAUCGAGGUGCUGCAUGGUUGUCGUCAGCUCGUGCCGUGAGGUGUCGGCUUAAGUGCCAUAACGAGCGCAACCCUUGUCGUUAGUUGCCAUCAGGUAAAGCUGGGGACUCUAGCGAGACUGCCACCGUAAGGUGUGAGGAAGGGGGGGAUGACGUCAAAUCAGCACGGCCCUUACGUCCGGGGCGACACACGUGUUACAAUGGUCGGUACAGAGGGCUGCUACACAGUGAUGUGAUGCUAAUCUCUAAAGCCGGUCUCAGUUCGGAUCGGAGUCUGCAACUCGACUCCGUGAAGUUGGAUUCGCUAGUAAUCGCACAUCAGCCAUGGUGCGGUGAAUACGUUCCCGGGCCUUGUACACACCGCCCGU
RNAcentral lists this ribosomal RNA (494 nucleotides) under uncultured bacterium. RNAcentral's name for it is "bacterial SSU rRNA". It matches the Rfam family "Bacterial small subunit ribosomal RNA", at positions 903 to 1397 of the family's 1533-position model. The record is from RNAcentral.